Pelmatolapia mariae (spotted tilapia) is the source of this 2811-nucleotide long non-coding RNA. RefSeq lists it as uncharacterized. The record is from RefSeq and is a predicted model, not a curated record. The transcript is spliced from 3 exons. NCBI's taxonomy places the organism in Eukaryota, Metazoa, Chordata, Actinopteri, Cichliformes, Cichlidae.
GAAGAAACAGCAGCAGAAGUCUAAGAAGAGUCUGACCAGUGGGUUGUUUGUUUGGAAGCCAGAGAAGUAAAGAGAUGUACCUCCUAAAUACUUCAGUAAAGCUGCUGCAGAAGACUGUGGUCGUGCUGGCAGCUCCCAGGUAACUGCAUCAAGAGACAAGUGCAACCCAACCAAUCAGAAGGAUGAUGGUUCAGUCCCUGGCCAUUCCAGUCCAUGAGUAUCCUUGGGCAAGAUACUGAACUAUUGCUGCCUACCUGGGCCCUCUUUCACAAAGCAGGUUCAACAGAUUCUGAUUUGAUUAACCCCCCCAGAGAUGAACAAGAAUGGGUUUUUAGCUCAAGGAUUCAUCAUGGCAACAAGUAAAUAAAGAGUCAGAAUAAGAAUACUUUAUUAAUCGCUAAGGAAAUUAUGUGGUCACAGUUUCUCCAAGACAGUAAGCACAGUAACUGACUAAAUUAAAUAAUAUAAAAUAUGAAAAUAUUGCAAAGUUGCAAAAUAUAACAAAAAAGUUAAUAUUUACAAAUAGCCCAAUUAUAAAUAUCCCAGUAUAAAACCCAAAUUAAAUAUAUAUGGUUGAAAUUGAAGUGCCCCCUUUUUUUAAACCUUUAUUUCUCUGUAGACAAUGUGCAAAUAUUAACGCUGUGCAACUGCUGAACUGUGUACUGUGCAUUAGAUGGGGGAGUUGUACAGAGAGAUGAUUUUCUGUGUCAUCUCUCAGAAAAUCAUUUGGGUAAUCUCAGUCUCUCACUGAACGUGCUCCUGUGACUGGCCAGCACAUGAUGGGAGUAUGUGGGAGGUCUACUCCACCUUAAGAGAGUCCAGCUCCAUCCUCACAACAUUACUGGCCUUGCAGAUCAGUUUAUUGAGUUUGUUGGCAUCUGUGACCCUCAGCCUGCUGCCCCAGCAUGCAACAGCACAUAGGAUGGCGCUGGCCACAGAAUCAUAAAAAAUCCUGAACAUUUACCAACAGAUGUUAAAAGAUGUCAGCCACCUCAGAAAAUAGAGACGACUCUGGCCCUUCCCGACUCUGGUGUUUUUCACCCAGUCCAGUUUAUUGUCAGUGUGUACUUUGGGGUAUUUAUAGUCCUCCACAAUGUCCACAUCAACCCCCUGGAUUGAUACAAGGGUCAGCGGUUUCCUAGUCCUCCGAAAGUCAUUUCCUUGGUCUUUGUCACAUUGAGCUGCAGAUGAUUCUGCUCACACCAUGUGACAAAGGAGUCAACCACAGCCUGGUACUGUCUCAUUACCCUCACUGAUGCAUCCAACCACCGCAGAGUCAUCAGAAAACUUCUGAAGAUGGCAGGUCUCUGUGAAGUGGCUGAAGUCUGUGGUAUAGAGGGUGAAGAGGAAAGGGGAGAGGACAGUCCCUUGUGGUACCCCUGUGUUUCUGAUCACCUUGUCAGACACACAAUGUUAAAGACGCACGUAUUGUGGUCUUCCUGUCAGGUAAUCAACAAUCCAAGGCACGAGAGAGGCAUCAACCUGCAUCACUGUCAGCUUAUCACCCAGGAGGGUCGGCCUGAUGGUACUGAAUGAAAAGUCAAACAACAUGACCCUCACUGUGCUCACCAGCUGAUCCAGAUGGGCGUAACUAUGGUGAUUUGAAGAUUCAAACUUGACAAUUUUAGAUUUCAACAUGUGGAUCAGCAGAGUUACACCAUAAAAUGUUGUUAAGAGCACAUUCAGACUUUUUGAACUGAAGUGAAAAUUAUUUCAGUGGUUGUCAUCUCUGAUAGAUGACAGACUUCACUGUGCACUGUAUCACUGCACAUGGUUGAAAUGACAAUAAAGCCGCUAGACUUGGCUGAAUCUAAAUAUCUUAUUAUAUUUAAACAGGAUUUUAUAUGUGCAAAGACAUUAUGUUCUUUGCACAUAUAGUAUGUUCUUUGACGUCGACUGCAUGAACGGGGAAAUUCAGUCAGUCAGCUGGAUCAGGUGCAGCAGGAGGGGAGAAACAGUUUUUGUAGAUGUUAGGUUCUCAGUCUGUUACCCUGGUAACUGUUUUAUGUUAGCUCUUUUAAUGGAACAUAAAAUCCAGAUUUUUCCCUCAGUCUUAAUAAGCUCCUGCUUUUGAGAACACAGCCCUGGACUUAUUCUGCAUCCAGACAUUUGUAGAAAAAAUGAUUAGACAAAUUAUUUCCAUUGUAUCACAAGUGAAAUGUUCUAAACUUGCUAACAUUGUUGUUAAUGUGAUCCUAAGUACUACAGUAACCUAGUUGUGAGUGUGAUAAAAUGUAAGGACUUCAGUUACACUUUUUUAAACCAACUAAAAUGUCAGUCUGUGGUAAAAACCCAACAGCCCAUUUAGUUUUCAUGCAGAGAUCACCUUCAUCCUUGCUAGCCUGUUAAACUGAAGGUUCUUUUUUUGAUGUACACUGACAUCUAGUGGUUACAAUGCAACAAUACAACAAUCCUGACAGUACGUAAUAGACCCUGAAAGUUCUGCUCCGAUGUUACAUUAGAAUGUUGCUUAUGCAGUGGUGCAUUUGCAAUUUAAAAUGUUAUAUAACUGCAUAAUGACACAAAUAACACCUACAGUAACAAACUGGAUUGUAUCAACAACAUAUUGUAGUAUAAAAAUUUUAUAGUCUGCUAAAUUGAGUUUUACUUGUAAACAGCUUUUCUACUCUGUGUACUUAAAAGCAUUUCAAACUACAAGCCAUAUUCACUCAUUCACACACGUUCCCUUAGCACUUAGUUACAUACCUUCAGUCACUUUUUACCACCCACUCUAACCAAUGAACCUGGGGCAAUUUGGGGUUUAGUAUCUUGCCCAAGAAUAGUUUGAUGCACUGGCUAAUUCAAACCACC